CAUUUACGACGGCUGCUUCUCUGAGACAGAAGUUUCUGUGUGUGCUGUGUUGCGGGGCGCCUCCCCGAGCGUCCUCCGGGGGCGACCCGGGUCACGGGGGUGGCGCAGAGGCCGAGGAAGCGCUCCUGAUGGAGCGGUUUCUGUUUAAGAGGACCAGGAGUGUGUUUAAAACCUGGAACAGGCGGUGGUUCAUCAUACACAACAAUCAGCUUCUCUACAAGAAGAGGUUUAAGCGUGACUUCACGGUGCUGGCGGAAGACCUGCAGCGCUGUUCGGUCCAGAGCUGUUCGGACGCCGGGCGCCGCUUCUGCUUCCGUGUGGUCACGCCCACAAGACGGUAGACGGGCGUGGAUCAGCGCCAUUCAGAACCUGACUGAGAGAGAAGAAACAGUCGAGAGCGAGGUGAAAAAAGGGAACUGCUGUGUAAUUUAGUGAAUUCUUGCACUGCACAUGGCAGAAGACUAAAAGAAAUUUAGACCGUGUAGAAUAAAAGUAUUAGUAA
Long non-coding RNA from Trichomycterus rosablanca, 502 nucleotides. RefSeq lists it as uncharacterized. The transcript is spliced from 4 exons. NCBI's taxonomy places the organism in Eukaryota, Metazoa, Chordata, Actinopteri, Siluriformes, Trichomycteridae. The record is from RefSeq and is a predicted model, not a curated record.